This 2278-nucleotide ribosomal RNA is filed under the name human gut metagenome. RNAcentral's name for it is "bacterial LSU rRNA". It matches the Rfam family "Bacterial large subunit ribosomal RNA", at positions 3 to 2295 of the family's 2925-position model. The record is from RNAcentral.
UCAAGCUACUAAGGGCAUACGGUGGAUGCCUAGGCGCCAAGAGCCGAAGAAGGACGCGGUAAGCUGCGAAAAGCCACGGGGAACUGCAAGCAAGUAUUGAUCCGUGGAUAUCCGAAUGGGGAAACCCGGCCAUCGUCAUGGAUGGUCACCCGCAAGGGAGGGAACCUGGGGAACUGAAACAUCUAAGUACCCGGAGGAAGAGAAAUCAAACGAGAUGCCCACAGUAGCGGCGAGCGAAGAGGGCAGAGCCCAAACCGAGAAGCUCCGGCUUUUCGGGGUUGAGGACCGGCAGAAUCGAAGUCAGGCCUAGUUGAAUUACCUGGAAAGGUAAGCGAGAGAGGGUAAAAGCCCCGUAGACGAAAGGCAGAGCAGAGAGGCCGAGAUCCAGAGUACCACGAAGCACGAGGAAUUUUGUGGGAAGCAGGGGGGACCACCCUCCAAGGCUAAAAACUACUUGGCGACCGAUAGCGCAUAGUACCGUGAGGGAAAGGUGAAAAGAACCCCGGGAGGGGAGUGAAAUAGUACCUGAAACCGUAUGUCUACAAGCAGUCGAAGCGAAAGCGACGGCGUGCCUAUUGAAGAAUGAACCAACGAGUUAUCUGCACUAGCGAGGUUAAGUGGAAGACACGGAGCCGCAGCGAAAGCGAGUCUUAAGAGGGCGCUAGUUAGUGUAGGUAGACCCGAAACCGCAGUGAUCUACCCAUGUCCAGGUUGAAGCGCAGGUAAAAUUGCGUGGAGGACCGAACCGGUGAGCGUUGAAAAGCUUUCGGAUGAGAUGUGGGUAGGGGUGAAAUUCCAAUCGAACGCGGAGAUAGCUGGUUCUCCCCGAAAUAGCUUUAGGGCUAGCCUGAGGUAGUAAGUAUAGGCGGUAGAGCACUGAUCGGGCUAGGGGCCGUAAAGGUUACCGAACCCUGUCAAACUCCGAAUGGAUAUACUGUAGAGCCUUGGAGUCAGACUACGAGUGAUAAGAUCCGUGGUCAAAAGGGAAACAGCCCAGACCACCAGCUAAGGUCCCCAAUGUCGUACUAAGUGGAAAAGGAUGUGGGGUUUCAUAAACAACCAGGAUGUUGGCUCAGAAGCAGCCACCAUUUAAAGAGUGCGUAAUAGCUCACUGGUCGAGAGACCCUGCGCCGAAGAUUCCCGGGGCUAAAGUACGAAACCGAAGCUGUGGCUGUAUACGUAAAGUAUACGGGGUAGGGGAGCGUUCCCAUAGGGUAGAAGUCGAACUGGAAGGUUCGGUGGACUUGUGGGAAGUGAGAAUGUUGGUAUGAGUAGCGAAAAGAAAGGUGAGAAUCCUUUCCACCGAAAGCAUAAGGAUUCCUGAGCAACGAUCGUCGUCUCAGGGUAAGUCGGGACCUAAUCCGAGGCAGAGAGCGUAGGAGAUGGACAACUGGUUGAUAUUCCAGUACCGGUAGUAAUUGUUUGAGCAAUGGAGUGACACAGAAGGGCAGGCAAGCAUGCGAAUGGAAGAGCAUGUGUAAGCGUGUAGGGUGGUGCAUAGGCAAAUCCGUGCACUGAAAGCCUGAGGCGUGAUGCGGAGUGAGCAGAGAUGCGAGCGAAGUUGUUGACCCCACACUGUCGAGAAAAGCUUCUAGUGAGAGAGCUACCGCCCGUACCGUAAACCGACACAGGUAUGCGGGGAGAGAAUCCUAAGGUGCGCGGGAGAACCCUCGUUAAGGAACUCGGCAAAAUGUACCCGUAACUUCGGGAUAAGGGUAGCCACUGUUGUGAAGUCCCAUGCGGAUGGAGCAUAGAGUGGUCGCAGAGAAGAGGCCCAAGCGACUGUUUACCAUAAACACAGGUGCCUGCUAAAGCGAAAGCUGACGUAUAGGUGCUGACACCUGCCCAGUGCCGGAAGGUUAAGGAAGGAUGUUCGGAUUAGUCCAAAGCAUUCGACUGAAGCCCCGGUGAACGGCGGCCGUAACUAUAACGGUCCUAAGGUAGCGAAAUUCCUUGUCGGGUAAGUUCCGACCCGCACGAAAGGUGUAACGAUUUGGGCACUGUCUCAACGAGGGACCCGGUGAAAUUGAAAUACCUGUGAAGAUGCAGGUUACCCGCGACUGGACAGAAAGACCCCAUGGAGCUUUACUGUAACCUGACAUUGGGUUUUGAUACAUUACGUACAGGAUAGGUGGGAGGCUUGGAAAGUUGGACGCUAGUCUGACUGGAGCCGACGUUGGGAUACCACCCUUGAUGUAUUGAAAUUCUAACCGCGAGAGUAACGAAAUCCGGGACAGUGUCAGGCGGGCAGUUUGACUGGGGCGGUCGCCUCCGAAAG